Molecule: ribosomal RNA, 486 nt
Filed under: uncultured bacterium
Lineage: Bacteria
Description: partial 16S ribosomal RNA
Rfam family: Bacterial small subunit ribosomal RNA
Source: RNAcentral
AUUGAACGCUGGCGGCAUGCUUUACACAUGCAAGUCGAGCGGCAGCGCGGGGGCAACCCUGGCGGCGAGCGGCGAACGGGGGAGUAAUGCAUCGGAACGUAUCCUCGAGUGGGGGAUAACCCAGCGAAAGUUGGGCUAAUAACGCCUGAGCUCUGAGGAGGAAAGCGGGGGACCUGCGAGGGGCUCGCGCUGGAGGAGCGGCCGAGGUCGGAUUAGCUAGUUGGUGGGGUAAAGGGUUACCAAGGCGACGAUCGGUAGCUGGUGUGAGAGGAUGGUAAGCCACACUAGGAGGUGGACGGGCCCCAGAGUCCUAAGGGAGGCAGCAGUGGGGAAUUUUGGACAAUGGGGGCAACCCUGAUACAGCCAUGCCGAGUGAGUGAAGAAGGCCCUCGGGUUGGAAAGAUCGUUCGGACGGAACGAAAUGGGCGGGACUAAGACGCCUGUCUGAUGACGGUACCGUAAGAAGAAGCACCGGCUAACUACGUG